AGAACGAACGCUGGCGGCAUGCCUAAUACAUGCAAGUCGAACGAACUCUUCGGAGUUAGUGGCGCACGGGUGCGUAACGCGUGGGAAUCUGCCCUUGGGUUCGGAAUAACAGUUGGAAACGACUGCUAAUACCGGAUGAUGACGAAAGUCCAAAGAUUUAUCGCCCAGGGAUGAGCCCGCGUAGGAUUAGCUAGUUGGUGAGGUAAAGGCUCACCAAGGCGACGAUCCUUAGCUGGUCUGAGAGGAUGAUCAGCCACACUGGGACUGAGACACGGCCCAGACUCCUACGGGAGGCAGCAGUAGGGAAUAUGGACAAUGGGCGAAAGCCUGAUCCAGCAAUGCCGCGUGAGUGAUGAAGCCUUAGGGUUGUAAAGCUCUUUACCCGAGAUGAUAAUGAACAGUAUCGGAAGAAUAAGCCCCGGACUAACUCCGACGCCAAGCAGCCGAC
Molecule: ribosomal RNA, 448 nt
Filed under: uncultured soil bacterium
Lineage: Bacteria
Description: bacterial SSU rRNA
Rfam family: Bacterial small subunit ribosomal RNA
Source: RNAcentral